Vicugna pacos (alpaca) is the source of this 1200-nucleotide non-coding RNA. Lineage: Eukaryota; Metazoa; Chordata; Mammalia; Artiodactyla; Camelidae. The record is from RefSeq and is a predicted model, not a curated record.
AGAGGUGAAAAGUCUCCCCAACGGGGGAGAAACUCGAAAUCACAAAUUGGAAAGAAGCUUGAGGGUGGCUUCUGAAUUCACCAGCAGCCCGCGGCUUAGCCGGGACGGCAAAGGGCAAGGUGUUAUGUUAGGUGCUGGUCCUCUGCGGCCAGCCUUAUUGGGAAGAAGGAAGAGGACAGAGCAGGAAGCUAAGGAAGCCAGGUGGGUGGGCCCUGGGGACAGCCCCCUCCCCUGCCCUGCUCAUUCUCUGUGCUUGUCUCCCUCUGCGAGACCCUGUCUAAGAAACUCAGUUGCUCUUUCAGGUUCAAACUUUCAUCAGCCAGAAAAAUUAAAAACAAAACAAAAGCCAAAAAACAAAGCCCCCAAAUUCCCAGAUAAAAAUAGUCCUUAGGUGUGCAUUUAGCCUUCUUUGAAAACCCAUGAAAUCUGAUCUCUUUGCAGGGCAGAGUGACCCUCAGGCGGCCGCGAACCCCAAGGUCCUCCGGCGGCAUAUGUGUCCCUCUGGCCCCAGCGUCUCCCACGGCCCCUCUUUCUGCCUCUCAUCAGCGUUCCCUCAGGGUUCAUGCUCACUGGAAAUGGAUCAACACCAUUUGUUUUGCUUCUUUUGCCCCAGAACAAAGGGGGUUUGUUGAUGUGACCGGGUUGUACUGAGCCGGACACAUUACUUUCCAGCUGAACCCCCAACCGGAUUCACUCCUGAGCCCCCGGGUGAUCACACACCCUUUUCCUUAACCUCUGUACUUCCUCUUCUCGUGCACUCAGAAGAAUCAUGCCCGUGAAGAAAUUCACAGGGCCUCUUAGAGGUGUCAGGUCUCUUCAGUGGGUUCACCUUACCUGAACGUGCUUAUCUUUAGCUAGCCCUUGGCCUGGAUGCCUGUUGCAGGGGACCACGCCAUGGCCACACCUCGUCGGCUCUUCUAAGGAGCCAGCUAAGGUGAUCCUUUUGUCUUCAAUCCCUUUCCCUUCUCUCCGUGCCGCGUGAUUCUCUGGUUCAUUGAGCACUCCUCAACAUCUGUCUCCUCCGAGAAACCGCCCUUUGCAAACUAGCUGGGCUCUUGUCACUUGAGAUACCCAUGGAACCAACGCAACACUCUGCAGAUCCUGGAUACCAUGUGAAAAAGAUGUGACUGAGGGCGACUCACCCCGCCAUAUUUCUUGCAAAAUUCCUGAAGGAAGGACCGGCGUUUUUCUUGAGUUGCA